GGGGCUGUGGUCCAAUGGUAAGAUCCUCGGCGUUUCAGUGGAUCUUCCGCUUCGUGGAUGAUUCCCUCUCGGGGGAAGUCCACAUUGCUGAGGGAUGCCGGUUCGAUUCCGGCCUGCUCCA
Molecule: transfer RNA, 121 nt
Filed under: Cercospora zeae-maydis SCOH1-5
Lineage: Eukaryota; Fungi; Ascomycota; Dothideomycetes; Mycosphaerellales; Mycosphaerellaceae
Rfam family: tRNA
About the family: Transfer RNA (tRNA) molecules are approximately 80 nucleotides in length.
Source: Rfam by way of RNAcentral